GACGAACGCUGGCGGCGUGCUUAACACAUGCAAGUCGAACGGUAAGGCCCUUCGGGGUACACGAGUGGCGAACGGGUGAGUAACACGUGGGUGAUCUGCCCUGCACUUCGGGAUAAGCCUGGGAAACUGGGUCUAAUACCGGAUAGGACCCUGGGAUGCAUGUCCUGGGGUGGAAAGCUUUUGCGGUGUGGGAUGGGCCCGCGGCCUAUCGGCUUGUUGGAGGGGUGAUGGCCUACCAAGGCGACGACGGGUAGCCGGCCUGAGAGGGUGACCGGCCACACUGGGACUGAGAUACGGCCCAGACUCCUACGGGAGGCAGCAGUGGGGAAUAUUGCACAAUGGGCGCAAGCCUGAUGCAGCGACGCCGCGUGAGGGAUGACGGCCUUCGGGUUGUAAACCUCUUUCAGCACCGACAAAGCGCAAGUGACGGUAGGUGUAGAAGAAGGACCGGCCAACUACGUGCCAGCCGCCGCGGUAA
Molecule: ribosomal RNA, 478 nt
Filed under: uncultured bacterium
Lineage: Bacteria
Description: partial 16S ribosomal RNA
Rfam family: Bacterial small subunit ribosomal RNA
Source: RNAcentral